CUCACCCUGCCCCCUCACCUCGCGGGCCCCACCGCGCGCACCCCUCCUCUUGCCGCUUGCGGCUUCCUCUGGCUCGUUGUUUGGCUUGCCUUUGGGGGGGCAACAAUGGGGAGUCUCUGGGGCGUGCCAGCGGAGGAGGAAGUCAGGAUGUCACGGGUCUCUGUCCUGUUGAGUUGAGCUGCAGAACUCUCCUGUGAAUUCUCCUAGGUGAGUCCACCACUUCACUAUGCUGCCUGUUCCUUAUCUGCCACUGUCGAAUCUAUCUGC
This 267-nucleotide long non-coding RNA is filed under the name Fukomys damarensis (Damara mole-rat). Its description in RNAcentral is "lncRNA (ENSFDAG00000025753.1)". Lineage: Eukaryota; Metazoa; Chordata; Mammalia; Rodentia; Bathyergidae. The record is from RNAcentral.